CUUAACCUACUGUACCAGUGAGUGGAUGAGGUGAUGUGCAGCACCAGUACCUACCACUGAGUGGAUGAGGUGAUGUGCAGCACCAGUACCUACCACUGAGUGGAUGAGGUGUUGUGCAGCACCAGUACCUACCACUGAGUGGAUGAGGUGUUGUGCAGCACCAAUACCUACCACUGAGUGGAUGAGGUGAUGUGCAGCACCAGUACCUACCACUGAGUGGAUGAGGUGUUGUGCAGCACCAAUACCUACCACUGAGUGGAUGAGGUGAUGUGCAGCACCAGUACCUACCACUGAGUGGAUGAGGUGAUGUGCAGCACCAGUACCUACCACUGAGUGGAUGAGGUGUUGUGCAGCACCAAUACCUACUACUGAGUGGAUGAGGUGAUGUGCAGCACCAGUACCUACCAGUGAGUGGAUGAGGUGAUGUGCAGCACCAAUACCUACCACUGAGUGGAUGAGGUGAUGUGCAGCACCAGUACCUACCACUGAGUGGAUGAGGUGUUGUGCAGCACCAGUACCUACCAGUGAGUGGAUGAGGUGAUGUGCAGAGUUAGUUUUUUGUCUUACCUUGUGAGAGGUAGUGUGUGGUUCAUAUAGCCCAUGCAGUGGGAUGUGUUCAUCAUAUCUUAAAACAAUUAUAAUAACAAUCAUUUAUAACCGUC
Long non-coding RNA from Oncorhynchus keta (chum salmon), 662 nucleotides. RefSeq lists it as uncharacterized. The record is from RefSeq and is a predicted model, not a curated record. NCBI's taxonomy places the organism in Eukaryota, Metazoa, Chordata, Actinopteri, Salmoniformes, Salmonidae. The transcript has 2 exons.